Long non-coding RNA from Vespula vulgaris, 1588 nucleotides. RefSeq lists it as uncharacterized. The record is from RefSeq and is a predicted model, not a curated record. The transcript is spliced from 2 exons. Lineage: Eukaryota; Metazoa; Arthropoda; Insecta; Hymenoptera; Vespidae.
CUCAGCCGCCAUCGAGUACUGACACGAGUGCGCUAGUGCUGCGCUCUAGCGGAUCGCGUCGUCGAUCGGAACCAACGGACGCAACCAAUCAAACCUUCCUUCGAAUUUUCUCUUGUUCGUUCCAACCUCCGCGAUCAUCGCAUUCUUAACAUCGAAUUAUUUUAAUAUUGUGAAUUGAUUCAGUCAAAAGGACUUUUCUUUUUCCUCUUUUCUUCUUUUUCUUUCCUCUUUUCCGUUAAUUUAUUCAUUUCUAUUCAUUUCUAUUAAUGUAUAAUAAUCUUGUCAGAAAUUCAAAAUUUCUUUUUUUCGAUGACCGAUUCAAAUUAUUUAGAAAUCAUUUAUGAACCUGUCAUAUCAGUUUUACCUAAUAUCGUUUUAUUUAUAGUUUCGAAUAAUUUAUAUAUAAUCGCAUUGUUUCUUAGAAUGCUAUUUAAUACGAUAUUGAUGAAUCCUCGUGAUUGUUCAAAUACAACCAAUCAAAUCUUGGAUACGUCGGAAGACAUCGAUAAUUGCGAAGAAUAAUAUGCCAGAAGAGUUAAACAUAUUUGCAUCUGUGGAUUUUCGUAUAACAAACCAAUAACUGUUCAGGCUGGAACGAUUAUCGUACAUUGACAUAUUUUAAUGUCAGAGACUUAGUGACUGAGUUUCAAUAACGUUGGAAUAUUUGGAAGAAAAGAUUUGAUGAGAUUCGUUGCAGAACUACCAGGGAAGGAAGAAGAAUUAGUACAUGUAGUUGAAUAUUAUAUGCAACAUUUUAUAACAAUAAAUAAUUCUAAUGUACUUUAUAAUUUCAACUGCGACUAUAAAAUACAAUAAAGCAAUGGAUACUAAGCUUGACGUGCUCUGUGGACAUCUAAGAGUUAAGGAGUGUCAAAUUUGAUAAUAAUGAUUUUAUUAAGACUUAUUCUACUCAAGCGGGUAUUCAAAAUUUUAUUAUAAAAGUACAAAAAAUCUAGCGCAAUAGAGUCUAAGUUGGAUAAAAUCCUAAAAAGUAAAAUAUAAGAUGAGAUAUAAAUUCAUUUAUAUAUGGCGAAAGAGAUAUUAUAGCCGUAUAUAUAUAUAUAUUUGUAGUCAUAUAUAAACAAGAGAAUGACCAAUAUGUAUGAAGAAAGGAAAUGAUGUAUCAAUGAUUUUGAUAUUAAAACAAACAGGUUUAAUAGAAAUAUAUUGACAUAAUAGCGGUUACAUGGCAAAAGCAUAAAAUUCUAAGAAAAUGGUCAGUAAUUUUAUAACUUAUAUAAAUAAGUUUUAUUAAGUAUCAAAAAAUAUAUGAAAGAUUAUAUUGUAUAUCAAUAAUUUUAUAACGCAAAACAACAUUUUUUAUAAACAUCGUUUUAACCUUUUUCCGGAUAAAUUUUCUAUAUAUUUCUUUACAUGUAAUAGAUACAAAGUAAAUAUUAUAAAUGUAGUCAAAGAAAUAUCAUACGGUAUUAAAUUAUUUGUAACAUUGUUAACUUCAGAGAGAAAUAUUUUAUUGUAUGUAUAUAUUUAAACAAAUUUUCUAUUUUUAUUUAGUUAAUUUAACAAAGAAAGAUUCCAUAGAAAUAAAAAUAUAAAUAUAUAAAUCAAUAAAUUAUUAUUAUUAUUA